This is a non-coding RNA of Camelina sativa (false flax), 162 nucleotides long. Lineage: Eukaryota; Viridiplantae; Streptophyta; Magnoliopsida; Brassicales; Brassicaceae. The record is from RefSeq and is a predicted model, not a curated record.
AAGAUGGUUGAUAAGAGUACUAAUAAUAAGAAGAGGAAAGAGUUCAUCAGUGAAGAAGACAUCGCCACUCUUUUGCAGAGAUAUGAUACUGCGACGAUACUGAAGUUGCUACAAGAAAUGGCUUAUUAUGCUGAUACUAAGAUGGAUUGGAAUGAGUUAGUG